AGCAGCCGCGGUAAUUCCAGCUCCAAUAGCGUAUAUUAAAGUUGUUGCAGUUAAAAAGCUCGUAGUUGAAUUUCGGGAUCAAGUCGUCGGUCGUGCCUCGGUACGCACUGGUGACAUUGGUUUCUCCCUUCUGAAGAACCUUGAUGUCAUUAAUUUGGUGUCUUGGGGAAUCAGGACUGUUACUUUGAAAAAUUAGAGUGUUUAAAGCAGGCUCACGCUUGAAUACAUUAGCAUGGAAUAAUGAAAUAGGACGUUUGAUUCUAUUUUGUUGGUUUCUAGGAUCGACGUAAUGAUUAAUAGGGAUAGUUGGGGGCAUUAGUAUUCAAUUGUCAGAGGUGAAAUUCUUGGAUUUAUUGAAGACUAACUACUGCGAAAGCAUUUGCCAAGGAUGUUUUCAUUAACCAAGAACGAAAGUUAGGGGAUCGAAGACGAUCAGAUACCGUCGUAGUCUUAACCAUAAACUAUGCCGACUAGGGAUCGGAUGAUGUUAAUUUUUUAAUGACUCAUUCGGCGCCUUACG
RNAcentral lists this ribosomal RNA (520 nucleotides) under uncultured Glomeromycotina. RNAcentral's name for it is "SSU rRNA". It matches the Rfam family "Eukaryotic small subunit ribosomal RNA", at positions 569 to 1092 of the family's 1831-position model. The record is from RNAcentral. Lineage: Eukaryota; Fungi; Glomeromycota.